GCCUGUUUAUCAAAAACAUUUCUAGCUCGAGUAGUUAGUAUGGCCUGCCCACUGUUUUUAUAAAGGGCUGCAGUAUUUUGACUGUGCAAAGGUAGCAUAGUAGAUUGCCUUUUAAAAGGGGGCUUGUAUGAAAGGUCUAACAAGGUUAAAGCUGUUCCCUGACCUUUUUUUAAUUUAUAGUUACUGUAAAAAUUCAGUAAUCCGACUAAGGGACGAUAAGACCCUAUAAAUUUUAGUAGUUUAGUGUCGUGUUAAGAAAGUUAGACAGCUUUCUACUUGGUUGGGGCAACAUAAAUAAAUAAAUUAUUAUUUUUUAAACAAGGUUAUUGAAAGAAAGAGCCGGUUUACCCCGUGCAAAAAGAAACAAAUACUUUAGGGAUAACAGCGUUAUUGUCUCGGAGAGUUCAAAUCUAUGGGACAGAUUACGACCUCGAUGUUGAAUUAAGAUAACUUCUAGGUGUAGCAGUUUAGAGAUGUUAGCCUGUUCGGCUAUAUUAUUCUUACGUGAUCUGAGUUCAGACC
RNAcentral lists this ribosomal RNA (522 nucleotides) under Paramysis loxolepis. RNAcentral's name for it is "partial 16S ribosomal RNA". It matches the Rfam family "Bacterial large subunit ribosomal RNA", at positions 1798 to 2617 of the family's 2925-position model. The record is from RNAcentral. Lineage: Eukaryota; Metazoa; Arthropoda; Malacostraca; Mysida; Mysidae.